Molecule: small nucleolar RNA, 82 nt
Organism: Papaver somniferum (opium poppy)
Lineage: Eukaryota; Viridiplantae; Streptophyta; Magnoliopsida; Ranunculales; Papaveraceae
Product: small nucleolar RNA snoR14
Exons: 1
Source: RefSeq, a predicted model, not a curated record
GAGAGAUGAUGAUAAAAUUCAUGGUAUGUCAAUCCACUGAAUUUUGUGAUGUUACUCUUGAAUCUCAACGUAUUCUAAUCGC